Molecule: ribosomal RNA, 496 nt
Filed under: uncultured bacterium
Lineage: Bacteria
Description: partial 16S ribosomal RNA
Rfam family: Bacterial small subunit ribosomal RNA
Source: RNAcentral
ACUCAAAGGAAUUGACGGGGGCCCGCACAAGCGGUGGAGCAUGUGGUUCAAUUCGACGCAACGCGAAGAACCUUACCUGGGCUCGAAGCGCAGUGGAAGUCGGCUGAAAGGCCGCUGCCCGCAAGGGCCGCUGCGGAGGUGCUGCAUGGCUGUCGUCAGCUCGUGUCGUGAGAUGUUGGGUUAAGUCCCGCAACGAGCGCAACCCUUAUCCUUAGUUGCCAUGCCGUAAGGCGGCACUCGAAGGAGACUGUCGGCCACAAGCCGGAGGAAGGUGGGGAUGACGUCAAGUCCUCAUGGCCUUUAUGUCCAGGGCUACACACGUGCUACAAUGGGCGGCACAAAGCGUCGCGAACCCGCGAGGGGGAGCCAAUCGCAAAAAACCGCUCUCAGUUCGGAUUGCAGUCUGCAACUCGACUGCAUGAAGCUGGAAUCGCUAGUAAUCGCGGAUCAGAACGCCGCGGUGAAUACGUUCCCGGGCCUUGUACACACCGCCCGU